RNAcentral lists this ribosomal RNA (411 nucleotides) under uncultured bacterium. RNAcentral describes it as "bacterial SSU rRNA". It matches the Rfam family "Bacterial small subunit ribosomal RNA", at positions 355 to 774 of the family's 1533-position model. The record is from RNAcentral.
UCGAGGAUCUUCGGCAAUGGGCGAAAGCCUGACCGAGCGACGCCGCGUGUGCGAUGAAGGCCUUCGGGUUGUAAAGCACUGUCGUGGGGGAGAAAGCCCGCAAGGGUUGAUCGACCCCAGGAGGAAGCACGGGCUAAGUUCGUGCCAGCAGCCGCGGUAAGACGAACCGUGCGAACGUUAUUCGGAAUCACUGGGCUUAAAGGGCGCGUAGGCGGGCGGCCGAGUCCGGGGUGAAAGCCCCCAGCUCAACUGGGGAAGUGCCUCGGAUACCGGCCGUCUCGAGGGGGAUAGGGGCGUGCGGAACUUCCGGUGGAGCGGUGAAAUGCGUAGAUAUCGGAAGGAACACCGGUGGCGAAAGCGGCGCGCUGGAUCCCUUCUGACGCUGAGGCGCGAAAGCCAGGGGAGCGAACG